AUAGUUAAAUUAUAAUAUUUAUUUUGCUAAUAAAAGUUAUUGAAUAAAUUAUUCUUA
This 57-nucleotide transfer RNA is filed under the name Apocrypta bakeri. RNAcentral's name for it is "tRNA-Ala". Lineage: Eukaryota; Metazoa; Arthropoda; Insecta; Hymenoptera; Pteromalidae. The record is from RNAcentral.